Molecule: small nuclear RNA, 108 nt
Organism: Neomonachus schauinslandi (Hawaiian monk seal)
Lineage: Eukaryota; Metazoa; Chordata; Mammalia; Carnivora; Phocidae
Source: RefSeq, a predicted model, not a curated record
GUGCACCCUUUGGCAGCACAUAUACUAAAAUUGAAAUGAUAACAGGAAAGAUGAGCAUGGACCCUGAGCAAGGAUGACACACAAAUUUGUGAGGUGUUCCAUAUUUUA